AGAGUUUGAUCCUGGCUCAGGAUGAACGCUGGCGGCGUGCUUAACACAUGCAAGUCGAACGAACCUUCGGGUUAGUGGCGGACGGGUGAGUAACGCGUGAGAAUCUGCCCUCAGGAGGGGGAUAACGGCUGGAAACGGCCGCUAAUACCCCAUAUGCCGAGAGGUGAAAUGAAUUUCGCCUGAGGAUGAGCUCGCGUCUGAUUAGCUAGUUGGUGUGGUAAAGGCUCACCAAGGCAUCGAUCAGUAGCUGGUCUGAGAGGAUGAUCAGCCACACUGGGACUGAGACACGGCCCAGACUCCUACGGGAGGCAGCAGUGGGGAAUUUUCCGCAAUGGGCGCAAGCCUGACGGAGCAACGCCGCGUGAGGGAUGAAGGCCUCUGGGCUGUAAACCUCUUUUAUCAAGGAAGAAGAUCUGACGGUACUUGAUGAAUAAGCCACGGCUAAUUCCGUGCCAGCAGCCGCGGUAAUACGGGAGUGGCAAGCGUUAUCCGGAAUUAUUGGGCGUAAAGCGUCCGCAGGCGGUCUUGAAAGUCUGUUGUUAAAGCGUGGAGCUCAACUCCAUUUCAGCAAUGGAAACUAGAAGACUAGAGUGUGGUAGGGGCAGAGGGAAUUCCCGGUGUAGCGGUGAAAUGCGUAGAUAUCGGGAAGAACACCAGUGGCGAAGGCGCUCUGCUGGGCCAUAACUGACGCUCAUGGACGAAAGCCAGGGGAGCGAAAGGGAUUAGAUACCCCUGUAGUCCUGGCCGUAAACGAUGAACACUAGGUGUCGGGGGAAUCGACCCCCUCGGUGUCGUAGCCAACGCGUUAAGUGUUCCGCCUGGGGAGUACGCACGCAAGUGUGAAACUCAAAGGAAUUGACGGGGGCCCGCACAAGCGGUGGAGUAUGUGGUUUAAUUCGAUGCAACGCGAAGAACCUUACCAGGGUUUGACAUCCUGCGAAUCCCUUGGAAACUUGGGAGUGCCUUCGGGAGCGCAGUGACAGGUGGUGCAUGGCUGUCGUCAGCUCGUGUCGUGAGAUGUUGGGUUAAGUCCCGCAACGAGCGCAACCCACGUCUUUAGUUGCCAGCAUUAAGUUGGGCACUCUAGAGAGACUGCCGGUGAUAAACCGGAGGAAGGUGUGGAUGACGUCAAGUCAUCAUGCCCCUUACAUCCUGGGCUACACACGUACUACAAUGCUACGGACAAAGGGCAGCAAACUCGCGAGAGCUAGCAAAUCCCAUAAACCGUGGCUCAGUUCAGAUCGUAGGCUGCAACUCGCCUACGU
RNAcentral lists this ribosomal RNA (1265 nucleotides) under metagenome. RNAcentral's name for it is "bacterial SSU rRNA". It matches the Rfam family "Bacterial small subunit ribosomal RNA", at positions 8 to 1321 of the family's 1533-position model. The record is from RNAcentral.